UGGGGAAUUUUUGGCAAUGGGGGAAACCCUGACCAAGCAACGCCGCGUGGGUGAUGAAGUCUCUUGGGACGUAAAACCCUUUCGACGGGGAAGAAACCGCAAGGUUGACGGUACCCGUAGAAGAAGCCCCGGCUAACUCCGUGCCAGCAGCCGCGGUAAUACGGGGGGGGCAAGCGUUGUUCGGAAUUACUGGGCGUAAAGGGCGCGUAGGCGGUUCGCUAAGUUGGAUGUGAAAACUCUGGGCUCAACCCAGAGCCUGCAUCCAAAACUGGCGGGCUAGAGUUCUGGAGGGGGUAGCGGAAUUCCUGGUGUAGCGGUGAAAUGCGUAGAUAUCAGGAGGAACACCGGUGGCGAAGGCGGCUACCUGGACAGAAACUGACGCUGAGGCGCGAAAGCUAGGGGAGCAAACAGGAUUAGAUACCCUGGUAGUCCUAGCCCUAAACGAUGGAUACUUGGUGUGACGGGGAUUGAAUCCCGUCGUGCCGAAGCUAACGCAUUAAGUAUCCCGCCUGGGGAGUACGGUCGCAAGGCUGA
RNAcentral lists this ribosomal RNA (534 nucleotides) under uncultured Acidobacteriota bacterium. RNAcentral describes it as "bacterial SSU rRNA". It matches the Rfam family "Bacterial small subunit ribosomal RNA", at positions 355 to 897 of the family's 1533-position model. Lineage: Bacteria; Pseudomonadati; Acidobacteriota. The record is from RNAcentral.